Molecule: ribosomal RNA, 507 nt
Filed under: Streptococcus sp. oral clone BP2-5
Lineage: Bacteria; Bacillati; Bacillota; Bacilli; Lactobacillales; Streptococcaceae
Description: bacterial SSU rRNA
Rfam family: Bacterial small subunit ribosomal RNA
Source: RNAcentral
AGAGUUUGAUCCUGGCUCAGGACGAACGCUGGCGGCGUGCCUAAUACAUGCAAGUAGAACGCUGAAGAGAGGAGCUUGCUCUUCUUGGAUGAGUUGCGAACGGGUGAGUAACGCGUAGGUAACCUGCCUUGUAGCGGGGGAUAACUAUUGGAAACGAUAGCUAAUACCGCAUAACAAUGGAUGACACAUGUCAUUUAUUUGAAAGGGGCAAUUGCUCCACUACAAGAUGGACCUGCGUUGUAUUAGCUAGUAGGUGAGGUAACGGCUCACCUAGGCGACGAUACAUAGCCGACCUGAGAGGGUGAUCGGCCACACUGGGACUGAGACACGGCCCAGACUCCUACGGGAGGCAGCAGUAGGGAAUCUUCGGCAAUGGGGGCAACCCUGACCGAGCAACGCCGCGUGAGUGAAGAAGGUUUUCGGAUCGUAAAGCUCUGUUGUAAGUCAAGAACGAGUGUGAGAGUGGAAAGUUCACACUGUGACGGUAGCUUACCAGAAAGGGACGGC